Molecule: ribosomal RNA, 447 nt
Filed under: uncultured bacterium
Lineage: Bacteria
Description: bacterial SSU rRNA
Rfam family: Bacterial small subunit ribosomal RNA
Source: RNAcentral
UCGGGAAUUUUGUGCAAUGGGCGAAAGCCUGACACAGCAACGCCGCGUGAAGGAUGAAGUCCCUCGGGAUGUAAACUUCGUAAGAAUAGGAAGAAUAAAUGACGGUACUAUUUGUAAGGUCCGGCUAACUACGUGCCAGCAGCCGCGGUAAUACGUAGGGACCAAGCGUUGUUCGGAUUUACUGGGCGUAAAGGGUGCGUAGGCGGCAUAUCAAGUCACUUGUGAAAUCUCCGGGCUUAACUCGGAACUGCCAAGUGAUACUGAUGUGCUAGAGUGCAGAAAGGGCAACUGGAAUUCUUGGUGUAGCGGUGAAAUGCGUAGAUAUGCGGAGGAACACCGAUGGCGAAGGCAAUCCCCUGGACCUGUACUGACGCUCAUGCACGAAAGCGUGGGGAGCAAACAGGAUUAGAUACCCAAGUAGUCCCUGAGCGGGCUGGCAAGGCGCAU